UGUGGUUGGACCGAGCGGAUGAUCUUCGGAGAUAAGUGUCCGCAUUCCCAGACAGCCGAUCUCUGAAGAACGGACAACGCAUCUCUCUUUCCAUCCUCAUCUUCAUUCUGAUUGAUGUACACGUACUAUAUACAAAUGGAACAAUUCCUAUACGCGGCAUCAUCUCCAGCCUGAAUUGCAGACAGAAUCCGAAAGGAGGAGGAACAAGGGAAAUGUUGGCUCUAGGAUUCAAUAUUCAAUAUUUCCUAGAUUUGUUCGUUGCCGGCUUUUCCCUUAUGAUCGGAUUGGGUUUCUUCACUUUCAUUGCCGCCAUUCUCUGUUCUAUCGCUUUCUUGCAUAACGCCAGAGAUGUCUAAGCCUUCUUUUUAGAUAGAUGAACCACUGAACAAACAAUGCUCAGUGGUGGAAGAUGAGUUACGUUGUUGACAACACGACUAUGGAUUGCAACAUUACAUGAACAAUGAUGAAACAGAUCUCUUUGCUGUCUCCAUUUUAGAAAUCUAACCAAGACAUGUUGUUUUCAGUCUUCUUUUCUAAAGCUAUGUGUUUUAGUGUCUGUUUAGAGUACUGUUCCAGUAUGGUGGUGCUAGAAACUGAAUGUGACAAAAAAACCCUAAUAUAUACAAAUGAUUUGCUAAAUUUUAGUUAAAUUUUGUGUUGUUAAAUCUAUGUUAAGAUAUGACAUUCAUGAUGCUUGUUGGAUCUGGUUGGUUAUGUCUGAUAAUAAUUUUGGAUCU
Molecule: long non-coding RNA, 737 nt
Organism: Impatiens glandulifera
Lineage: Eukaryota; Viridiplantae; Streptophyta; Magnoliopsida; Ericales; Balsaminaceae
Exons: 2
Source: RefSeq, a predicted model, not a curated record